CGGGACGGGGUGGAGUAAUGUCUGGGAAACUGCCUGAUGGAGGGGGAUAACUACUGGAAACGGUAGCUAAUACCGCAUAACGUCGCAAGACCAAAGAGGGGGACCUUCGGGCCUCUUGCCAUCGGAUGUGCCCAGAUGGGAUUAGCUAGUAGGUGGGGUAAAGGCUCACCUAGGCGACGAUCCCUAGCUGGUCUGAGAGGAUGACCAGCCACACUGGAACUGAGACACGGUCCAG
Molecule: ribosomal RNA, 235 nt
Filed under: uncultured bacterium
Lineage: Bacteria
Description: partial 16S ribosomal RNA
Rfam family: Bacterial small subunit ribosomal RNA
Source: RNAcentral